Long non-coding RNA from Perca flavescens (yellow perch), 1022 nucleotides. RefSeq lists it as uncharacterized. The transcript has 6 exons. The record is from RefSeq and is a predicted model, not a curated record. Lineage: Eukaryota; Metazoa; Chordata; Actinopteri; Perciformes; Percidae.
UAAAAAGCUCACCAGGUGUAGUCGUUAGUCCCCUUGCCUCUCACUGAGCGCACUGCAAUUGUGUGAAUUCUCCUGAUUCUCCAGGUUGAUAGCCAGGCACAAGUUCCUGUCCUUCACGGAGUGAACUGGGGCAGAUUGACGUUUACCACUGACAAAUGAGCUGCUGUGGCUGUAGAGCUCCGGAAAAUACUCCUCCUCCCGCAUUAACUGUGCUAUAGGAGUUGGUGUCCUUGCAAAGGGGACCAGUCCAGUCACUGUUUUCUACGCUUGAUCCUGUACAAGGCUGGGUCCGUGUCGAGACACUGCCUCCUUGUGACAGGACAGAAACAUGUGAACAGUGACUCUCAGGGGACAGGAGAGGAGUUCCUACCUUUACACCAGGCGUUGAACAGCACGUACAGGUCACUAGCGGCGUUCCUCUUUGUUCGCUGCAUGCCGGUGCCCGCUACGAUGGCCACGUACGUACGAAACUUUCCCACGAUGGCGUUUGGCGUCGGCGUGAUGCCCAGAGUCACAGUUACACCCUGACGCCCCACAAUCCGACCCGACCACGGGCCCCCGAGACGGGAAUUGAAGGUCACCACCAUCAGGGAGCCCCUGCUGGCUGAAGGGUUUUCACCUGGAGGAGGAGGAGGAGGGUUCGUGAUGAGGAAAGGAUACAAGGAGAUGAAAAUCCAGAAAUGGACUGUCAAAAAAAACAUUAAAAAAGCUUUAAAAGCGUACUCUACUUGAUUACUGGUACUGGUUUGGAAAAAUAAAAUGUUUAAACUGCGGUGACAGUUAAGUUUAGAUACCAAAACAACUAGUUGAAGGGUAACUUUGUUUUUUCAACCUGUGUGACUGAUGGGAAUAACUUUCUUUUGACAUUGGUCCAGUAUUAAGCAAAAUCGUUGCAGUCGUCAGUGGUGAAACAAGCUACAAUGUAAGUUAAUAGGGCAAUCGCACACCUUCAAUUUAUGUCAACAAAAGUGCUUGUUUUACCACAGACAAGCUCAACUUUUGAUUCUGAGUGUCUGACAACA